RNAcentral lists this transfer RNA (73 nucleotides) under Chlamydotis macqueenii (Macqueen's bustard). RNAcentral's name for it is "Chlamydotis undulata macqueenii tRNA". It matches the Rfam family "tRNA". Rfam says of the family: Transfer RNA (tRNA) molecules are approximately 80 nucleotides in length. Their secondary structure includes four short double-helical elements and three loops (D, anti-codon, and T loops). Further hydrogen bonds mediate the characteristic L-shaped molecular structure. tRNAs have two regions of fundamental functional importance: the anti-codon, which is responsible for specific mRNA codon recognition, and the 3' end, to which the tRNAs corresponding amino acid is attached (by aminoacyl-tRNA synthetases). tRNAs cope with the degeneracy of the genetic code in two manners: having more than one tRNA (with a specific anti-codon) for a particular amino acid; and 'wobble' base-pairing, i.e. permitting non-standard base-pairing at the 3rd anti-codon position. The record is from Rfam by way of RNAcentral. Lineage: Eukaryota; Metazoa; Chordata; Aves; Otidiformes; Otididae.
GCCUGCCUAGCUCAGUCAGUAGAGCGUGAGGCUCUUAAUCUCAGAAUCGUGUGUCUGAGCUUCACGUUGGGCA